UAAAAUGAAAAUAUUUAUUUAUUUAGAGUAUGUUUUUACAGUAUCAAGUUAUGAGGGUCCAAGUAAAAUAUUGGGAAGAACGUAAAGGAUACUUCCUAGGAGUCGCAAAGAAAAACAGAUUCUACAGUAUAAGAAUUGUACCAAGAGGUCAUCAUCGCCUAUAAGCUUAGACUUAAACAUUCCUUCCACACUUGCAUCAAAACAAAUGCAACAUAAACCAAUUACAGCACCAAGAACUGCACAAGCAGCAAUGAUGCCAUGACAGAACAGACCGACCAGAAUCAUAACAUUACAAUCCUAGCACCCUUCCGAAUAAUUCUAACCAUAAGCAUCAACUCCCCUUACCAUUGUUGCAUUGCAAGACCAUCUGCAACAAGCUAUAGGUACUACAUAACCAAAGAAACGGAAAAAAUAAACACACAAAUUUGGCACGCAAAGCUGAUAAGUUAGCUGCAUAAAAUAUGUCACAACAAUAACUCAAAACAUGGGAGAAUCUGAACAGCUAAAGAUGGAAGUUCUGCAGUGUAUUUGGCUCAACACACAAACCAAAACCAGUGGAUUACCUAAUGUUGUAACCCGUAGAACAUCUUCAAACAACAUCUGAUAUGGCUUGGCACACCUUCCAGAAUUGGAUCUGUAGCAUGUGUAUAAAGACAAACCCCGCACCUGUAGCACCCUCAGCAAAUUCUGCUUUUCUAGAUCCCCUUCUUCUUAGCUUCAUAUCCGUUCUGCUGUGAAUUUUCCAGAAUUGGGAGUUAAUAAGUAUCAAAUUCCAUUAAUAUUUCAUAUUAAAAUAUAAUACUAGUGGGUAUUAAUUGUUAAAAUAAGUAUAAAAUAACCCUUAAUUUAUGAAAUUAUACAUUUUUAUAUAUUUUGUGAUUUAAAUUUAAAUAAGAAUGAUUUAUUUCUAAAUUUGUGUUAAUUUUAGAAUUUUAGGGAAGAAUGGACAUACCUGAACAAAAGGAGAAUAUACAAAGCUAAAAAUGGAAAGUUGAAAUGCACCAACAUCUCCUAAGCUGCUCCAAACUCGCAAAAAGCCUGGAUGCCACUAGUGGAUCUCGCUCAAGCGAG
This 1071-nucleotide long non-coding RNA is filed under the name Phaseolus vulgaris (common bean). Its description in RNAcentral is "long non-coding RNA (PVUL_LNC002591)". Lineage: Eukaryota; Viridiplantae; Streptophyta; Magnoliopsida; Fabales; Fabaceae. The record is from RNAcentral.